This is a long non-coding RNA of Gossypium arboreum, 1176 nucleotides long. RefSeq lists it as uncharacterized. The record is from RefSeq and is a predicted model, not a curated record. The transcript is spliced from 2 exons. NCBI's taxonomy places the organism in Eukaryota, Viridiplantae, Streptophyta, Magnoliopsida, Malvales, Malvaceae.
UCUUGAGGUGACAAGUAGAUCAUAGUUAAAUAAAUGAUUAGAUAUGAAUUGGGAAAACAAGGUGUCAGUGUCUGGAGUAGUUUGUAGUCCCAAUCCUUCAACUCUAGCACUGUUUAGCUUUCCCCUGUCCAAUUUCAGGAAAAAAAUUCCGCGUGUAAGAAAUGCAUGCAUUUAGCAUUAGCACCAGAGUGAAGCAGCAGCAGGUACCGCCACUUGGCCGAGUUUCCAACGCAAGAAGAAAGCGUCCAACAAACAAGAAAUACUAUACUAGAAAAUAAUGGAGUGAGUCCCCCCUUUACCCACCACAAUUAGGAAGGUUCAUCUUCACCCAACGUGGUUGGCCAAAUGCAUCCACAACAUGAGAGUGAAAUCCAGACACUUGUCAAUAAUAUGUUGGAAACAACGCAUCUACUCUCUCUCCCUUCUAUUAUCAUAUCCUCUCUUUCUCAGGCUGUAAGCUAAGUAAAUGUGAUUUGUUAUAAAUAGCGGAGUCUCAAGUACCCUCCUCCACCAUCAAGAGAAUUGAGAGAGCAAUUGGUGUGGCUGUCGCGAGGAGAUCAUAUAUCUCACAUAAAUAAGAGUAUGGUUUUGGGUCGCAUGCUUGCGUGGAACCAUCAAAACUUUGCAUUUGAAAAGGGGUGAUGGUGCCACGCUGUGUGCGCCUAAAAUGCAUAUUCUUCUACUAUAUUUGAUGAAAUGUUGGAAAAUGUGCAAAGCUUAGCACUAAGGUAGGGUAGUAGCUGACUGAUAAGCUCCCAGUACAGGAUUAACAACCCUGGGCUUUAUGAUGUUUUGACAAGAAAAAAAAAAGAUUACAAAUUAGAGUAGAGAUAUCAGUUGGUUUGUUUGCAGGACAGUAAAGGUCUCUACUCUGUAGCUGAAGAUCAAGUGACCACUUCCUUAAGAAAAUGCUGGUUUGAAAACAAUUAGCCAUCCACCCCCAAGAUGGAUUGCGCUUUCGCUGAGAUUAACUUUGAUAUUAAUGAUGCAUGGUAAGAUUAAUUAAUGUAGUAUUGAAAUUUAAUAUUGUAAUUAUGAUAUUAAAAUGUGUGGUUGAAUUCAAAACUAAUUAUGAGGUUGGGGUUGAAAUGGAAAAAUGAUCUAUAAACUAAAAUUAUUAAUUAUUUGAUAUUUAACACUGUAGUUUUAUUAAUAAAAUAAUAAUGUGUAUCAUAA